CGGGAUUGCCUCAGUAACGGCGAGUGAAGCGGCAAGAGCUCAAAUUUGAAAGCUGGCUCCUUCGGAGUCCGCAUUGUAAUUUGCAGAGGAUGCUUUGGGUGCGGCCCCCGUCUAAGUGCCCUGGAACGGGCCGUCAGAGAGGGUGAGAAUCCCGUCUUGGGCGGGGUGUCCGUGCCCGUGUAAAGCUCCUUCGACGAGUCGAGUUGUUUGGGAAUGCAGCUCUAAAUGGGUGGUAAAUUUCAUCUAAAGCUAAAUACUGGCCGGAGACCGAUAGCGCACAAGUAGAGUGAUCGAAAGAUGAAAAGCACUUUGAAAAGAGAGUUAAACAGCACGUGAAAUUGUUGAAAGGGAAGCGCUUGCGACCAGACUCGCCCGCGGGGUUCAGCCGGCAUUCGUGCCGGUGUACUUCCCCGUGGGCGGGCCAGCGUCGGUUUGGGCGGCCGGUCAAAGGCCCCUGGAAUGUAGUGCCCUCCGGGGCACCUUAUAGCCAGGGGUGCAAUGCGGCCAGCCUGGACCGAGGAACGCGCUUCGGCACGGACGCUGGCAUAAUGGUCGUAAACGACCCGUCUUGAAACACGGACCAAGGAGUCUAACAUCUACGCGAGUGUUCGGGUGUCAAACCCGUGCGCGCAGUGAAAGCGAACGGAGGUGGGAGCCCCCUUGCGGGGCGCACCAUCGACCGAUCCUGAUGUCUUCGGAUGGAUUUGAGUAAGAGCGUAGCUGUGGGGACCCGAAAGAUGGUGAACUAUGCCUGAAUAGGGCGAAGCCAGAGGAAACUCUGGUGGAGGCUCGCAGCGGUUCUGACGUGCAAAUCGAUCGUCAAAUUUGGGUAUAGGGGCGAAAGACUAAUCGAACCAUCUAGUAGCUGGUUCCUGCCGAAGUUUCCCUCAGGAUAGCAGUAACGCAAAAUCAGUUUUAUGAGGUAAAGCGAAUGAUUAGAGGCAUUGGGGUUGAAACAACCUUAACCUAUUCUCAAACUUUAAAUAUGUAAGAAGCCCUUGUUGCUUAGUUGAACGUGGGCAUUAGAAUGGAGCGUUACUAGUGGGCCAUUUUUGGUAAGCAGAACUGGCGAUGCGGGAUGAACCGAACGCGAGGUUAAGGUGCCGGAAUGCACGCUCAUCAGACACCACAAAAGGUGUUAGUUCAUCUAGACAGCCCGACGGUGGCCAUGGAAGUCGGAAUCCGCUAAGGAGUGUGUAACAACUCACGGGCCGAAUGAACUAGCCCUGAAAAUGGAUGGCGCUCAAGCGUGCUACCCAUACCUCGCCGUCGGGGUAGAAACGAUGCCCCGACGAGUAGGCAGGCGUGGGGGUCCGUGACGAAGC
This 1325-nucleotide ribosomal RNA is filed under the name Aspergillus niger. RNAcentral's name for it is "partial large subunit ribosomal RNA". It matches the Rfam family "Eukaryotic large subunit ribosomal RNA", at positions 70 to 1409 of the family's 3401-position model. The record is from RNAcentral. Lineage: Eukaryota; Fungi; Ascomycota; Eurotiomycetes; Eurotiales; Aspergillaceae.